This 253-nucleotide ribosomal RNA is filed under the name uncultured bacterium. RNAcentral's name for it is "partial 16S ribosomal RNA". It matches the Rfam family "Bacterial small subunit ribosomal RNA", at positions 524 to 776 of the family's 1533-position model. The record is from RNAcentral.
UACAGAGGGUGCGAGCGUUAAUCGGAAUUACUGGGCGUAAAGCGUGCGUAGACGGUAGCGUAAGUCAGAUGUGAAAGCCCCGGGCUCAACCUGGGAAUUGCAUUUGAGACUGCUCUGCUCGGGUGCGGAAGAGGGAAGCGGAAUUUCCGGUGUAGCGGUGAAAUGCGUAGAUAUCGGAAGGAACACCAGUGGCGAAAGCGGCUUCCUGGCCCGACACCGACGUUCAGGCACGAAAGCGUGGGGAGCAAACAGG